This 760-nucleotide unclassified non-coding RNA is filed under the name Human gammaherpesvirus 8. RNAcentral describes it as "T0.7". The stretch from base 153 to 222 matches the Rfam family "mir-K12-10 microRNA precursor family". Lineage: Duplodnaviria; Heunggongvirae; Peploviricota; Herviviricetes; Herpesvirales; Orthoherpesviridae. The record is from RNAcentral.
GAACCUGGUGCCCUCCUCCCCGGGAACCUGGUGCCCUCCUCCCCGGGAACCUGGUGCCCUCCUCCCCCUUUACUCCAAUCCCAAUGUAUGGAUAGAGGCUUAACGGUGUUUGUGGCAGUUCAUGUCCCGGAUGUGUUACUAAAUGGGUGGCGCUGGAGGCUUGGGGCGAUACCACCACUCGUUUGUCUGUUGGCGAUUAGUGUUGUCCCCCCGAGUGGCCAGCGUGGCCCCGUACCAUUCAGGACACGAGUUGCAACGGGUGCGCACUGAAGCUAGCGCGCCCUCCCGAAGAGUGUCAGUAAAAUGAAAUACUAAAACACAAUCACGGUUGCACCAAGCACAACAUCAAACACAUACAAUGCCGAAGAGCAGGCGUAUCGAGGGCAUACCCGUGGCUCAUAACACAGUCACAGUUCAGAAGGCCGGCACGCGGUGUCAACCAGGCCACCAUUCCUCUCCGCAUUAAAGCACUCGGUGGGGGAGGGUGCCCUGGUUGACACAAUGUGCCGCGCAUCAACCAGCGCGACGGAAGUUGGCCUCCAGCAAAGCACAUUUUGCACGCAAAUGGCGUCCGCUCUCCCAAACCACACGAAUGGCACCAUGGCAAAAAACACUCCCUCACAAUGUAUUGACCUUGUUUGUUAAUGAAAUUGUGGCACUGACUUCGGCAGACGCCAAGUGGUGGAUAUAGAACCACCUUUCAUGGCAGUACAUUGCAGCGUGUGCCACAUGUUCAAAAACAAUAAACAGAUUAAAAGAA